Molecule: ribosomal RNA, 760 nt
Filed under: uncultured Inocybe
Lineage: Eukaryota; Fungi; Basidiomycota; Agaricomycetes; Agaricales; Cortinariaceae
Description: partial 28S ribosomal RNA
Rfam family: Eukaryotic large subunit ribosomal RNA
Source: RNAcentral
GAAUCCCGUCUUUGACACGGACUGCCUGUACAUUAUGGUGUGCUCUCGAAGAGUCGAGUUGUUUGGGAAUGCAGCUCAAAAUGGGUGGUAAAUGCCAUCUAAAGCUAAAUAUUGGCGAGAGACCGAUAGCGAACAAGUACCGUGAGGGAAAGAUGAAAAGAACUUHGGAAAGAGAGUUAAACAGUACGUGAAAUUGCUGAAAGGGAAACGCUUGAAGUCAGUCGCGUUGGCUAGAAAUCAACCUUGCUUUUGCUUUGUGUACUUUCUGGUUGACGGGUCAGCAUCAAUUUUGACCACUGGAUAAAGUCUUUGGGAAUGUGGCAUCUUCGGAUGUGUUAUAGCCCAUUGUCGCAUACGGUGGUUGGGAUUGAGGAACUCAGCACGCCGCAAGGCCGGGUUUCGACCACGUUCGUGCUUAGGAUGCUGGCAUAAUGGCUUUAAUCGACCCGUCUUGAAACACGGACCAAGGAGUCUAACAUGCCUGCGAGUGUUUGGGUGGAAAAACCCAUGCGCGCAAUGAAAGUGAAAGUUGAGAUCCUCUUCAAAGGGGGAGCAUUGACGCCCGGACCAGACCUUUUGUGACGGAUCCGCGGUAGAGCAUGCAUGUUGGGACCCGAAAGAUGGUGAACUAUGCCUGAAUAGGGUGAAGCCAGAGGAAACUCUGGUGGAGGCUCGUAGCGAUUCUGACGUGCAAAUCGAUCGUCAAAUUUGGGUAUAGGGGCGAAAGACUAAUCGAACCAUCUAGUAGCUGGUUCCUGCC